CCUACGGUGUGCAGCAGUGGGGAAUAUUGGACAAUGGGCGAAAGCCUGAUCCAGCCAUGCCGCGUGUGUAAAGAAGGCCUUCGGGUUGUAAAGCACUUUCAGUGGGGAAGAAAGCCUUGGGGCUAAUACCCUCGAGGAAGGACAUCACCCACAGAAGAAGCACCGGCUAACUCCGUGCCAGCAGCCGCGGUAAUACGGAGGGUGCGAGCGUUAAUCGGAAUUACUGGGCGUAAAGCGCGCGUAGGCGGUCUGAUAAGCCGGUUGUGAAAGCCCCGGGCUCAACCUGGGAACGGCAUCCGGAACUGUCAGGCUAGAGUGCAGGAGAGGAAGGUAGAAUUCCCGGUGUAGCGGUGAAAUGCGUAGAGAUCGGGAGGAAUACCAGUGGCGAAGGCGGCCUUCUGGACUGACACUGACGCUGAGGUGCGAAAGCGUGGGUAGCAAACAGGAUUAGAUACCCUAGUAGUC
Molecule: ribosomal RNA, 465 nt
Filed under: Vreelandella stevensii
Lineage: Bacteria; Pseudomonadati; Pseudomonadota; Gammaproteobacteria; Oceanospirillales; Halomonadaceae
Description: partial 16S ribosomal RNA
Rfam family: Bacterial small subunit ribosomal RNA
Source: RNAcentral